UUGUCACAAUGAUAAUGACUGUGAUAACUCUGUAGGUAUUCGUUCGACAAUAGACAUGUGAACAACCAAUUAUGAAAGCUCUGGUCCAAGUGAUUAACCUAGUCCUAAUUAGCGUGGUGGUGAUUAUUAUCCCACCGUGCGGGGCUGCACUUGGACGAAGAAAGGCAUAGAAAUCAAGCCUUAAUCUCAAGAAAACCCCCGCACCGAAAGGUCCGGGGGUUUUUUAUUGGCCGUUAAUCAGACGCGGGGAACAUAAAAUGCACAACAGAAUAAAAUCCUGUGUG
This 284-nucleotide small RNA is filed under the name Yersinia ruckeri. RNAcentral's name for it is "Soft rot Enterobacteriaceae Rev 39 5'UTR". It matches the Rfam family "Soft rot Enterobacteriaceae Rev 39 5'UTR". Rfam says of the family: From bacteria cultured under starvation conditions. Lineage: Bacteria; Pseudomonadati; Pseudomonadota; Gammaproteobacteria; Enterobacterales; Yersiniaceae. The record is from RNAcentral.